UCAACUUUAUUAGAAGAGGCGCAUUUAUUAGAUAAAAAGCCAAUUCACGCUUUUAGAGGAGGAGAGGUGGUGAUUUAUAAUAACUUAGCAAAUCGCAAAGUGAAAA
RNAcentral lists this ribosomal RNA (106 nucleotides) under Hepatozoon canis. RNAcentral's name for it is "partial small subunit ribosomal RNA". Lineage: Eukaryota; Apicomplexa; Hepatozoidae. The record is from RNAcentral.